Molecule: ribosomal RNA, 241 nt
Filed under: uncultured soil bacterium
Lineage: Bacteria
Description: partial 16S ribosomal RNA
Rfam family: Bacterial small subunit ribosomal RNA
Source: RNAcentral
AGAACGAACGCUGGCGGCGUACUUAACACAUGCAAGUCGGACGAGAAAGGGAGCUUCGGUUCCUGAGUAAAGUGGCGAACGGGUGCGUAACACGUGAGUAAUCUACCCUAGACACUGGGAUAACUUUCCGAAAGGAGCUAAUACCGGAUAGGUCCUUAUAGCAACAGCCAUGAGGGGAAAGCAGGCCUCUGUUUCAUGCUUGCAGUUUAGGAUGAGCUUGCGGCUCAUUAGCUAGUUGGUA